UUUCCCGUGGGAUUCAGAUUUGAGCUUUUGCUGCUUUUACUUGCUGUUACAGAUGUUUUUCCCAUUCAAAUCGGGGGGCAUUUUUUGCAUAUCCAAUAAGCGGAGGAAAAGAAACCAACCGGGAUUGCCUCAGUAACGGCGAGUGAAGCGGCAAAAGCUCAAAUUUGAAAUCCCUCGGGAAUUGUAAAUUGAAGACGCAUUCUUGGCCUCAGCUGGUUUAAGUGCCUUGGAACAGGCCGCCAUGGAGGGUGACAGCCCCGUAAAAUCAGUUUAAAGCCUGUGCAGAUUGCCGUCGACGAGUCGAGUUGUUUGGGAAUGCAGCUCUAAGUGGGUGGUAAGCUCCAUCUAAAGCUAAAUAUUGGCGAGAGACCGAUAGCGAACAAGUACAGUGAUGGAAAGAUGAAAAGCACUUUGAAAAGAGAGUGAAACAGCACGUGAAAUUGUUGAAAGGGAAGGGCUUGGCCUCAGACUCGGGUGUGCCUCGGUGCACCUGGGCCAGCAUGGGUUGGAGAGAUGUGAAAAGCGCAGGGGAAUGUGGCACCUUCGGGUGUGUUAUAGCCCUUGUUCAUGACAUUUUUCCGACCGAGGACUGCGAUAUCAAGGAUGCUGGCGUAAUGAUGUCAAGCCGCCCGUCUUGAACAACGGGACCUCAAACGGGGUUUAUAAAAAAUUAUUAAAAGACCGAAUUUUUUCCCUUGUGACACA
RNAcentral lists this ribosomal RNA (705 nucleotides) under [Candida] sp. RNAcentral's name for it is "LSU rRNA". It matches the Rfam family "Eukaryotic large subunit ribosomal RNA", at positions 1 to 721 of the family's 3401-position model. The record is from RNAcentral. Lineage: Eukaryota; Fungi; Ascomycota; Saccharomycetes; Saccharomycetales.